Molecule: long non-coding RNA, 2834 nt
Organism: Cygnus olor (mute swan)
Lineage: Eukaryota; Metazoa; Chordata; Aves; Anseriformes; Anatidae
Exons: 4
Source: RefSeq, a predicted model, not a curated record
UUCACUGAUGGGCUUUGCAGAAGGCUUGCAGUGCUCCUUUAGGAGCUCUAUCACCCAGAGAGAGAUGUUGAAAGCACCAGUCCACAAAACGGCCAAAAGUCAGCACUGUUGCAGGCACUAACUGCAGUCCUUCUAAAGAUUUGCAGAGUAAGCAGUAUUACUUGGCUGUUAAUCCUCCUCCUCCUCGUCCUUCUUUCAUACUUCCUGCAGGAAAGACGGCGUCCACAGCUACUUUUUAUGAAGUCAAAUAUCCUGCUGUUUUCAUUCCUGGUCUGACACUUGGCUACCUGUGCUUCUCAGACAACGUUUUUGCCUCAGGACAAAACCUUGCUGCUCUAGCUCCACAAAGAGAUCCUCACAGAGAAGCUGAUGAAUUAUGGGCUAGAUAAGCAUCCAGUGAAGAGGCUUGAAAACAGGCUGAACAACUGGGCCCAGAGGGUGGUGAUCAACGGUAAGAAGUCCAGCUGGAGGCUGGUAAGUAGCCAUGUACCCCAGGCAUCAAUACUAGGUUCAAGUCUGUUCAAUGCCUUCAUUAAUCAUCCAGAGGGACCUCAAUAGGUUGGAGAAACUGGCUGACAGGAAUCUCAUGAAGUUCAAUGAAGGGGGGGUGGUAAGUUGUGCACCUGGGGAGGAACAACCCCAUGUACCAACAUAUACUGGGAGCUGACUGGCUGGAAAGCAGCUUUGCAGAAAAGGACGUGGGGCCUGCUUGAGCAGGGGGCUGGACCAGAUGAUCUCCAGCUGUCCCUUUCAACCUCAGCCACUCUGGGAUUCUGUGGCCCUUUUAGUUAGGGGGCUGUAGACUCUUGCUUCCCCAAUCACUAGUGCGGGAGUGAAAAAAUGCUUUGCCCCAAGCCCUCCAACUCAUGUUCUUAAUGAAGCUGUACUAGCAGUUCAACACUGACUUGCCUGGAUGCUGUAUUCACACUCUGUGCCCCUCACCUGUGUGGUCUGAUAUGAAGGGAUGCUUUUCUUCCUGAGACAGUAAUAGACUCGUAGCCCAUUUUCUAAAUAGUCCUUUGGCCCCUAUGAUGCAAGAGGAAUAUUUGCAUAGAGCUAAUGCAGCUAGUAUAAAAUGCAGCUGUCAUAAAUUGGACAUGUAGUUCACAUCAUGAGUUAGUUCAGUCAGAUCAGUCCAGGAGACUUGUCUAAUGAAUUUCAUUUUGCAGAACUAUCAUUUUGUUGAACAGUUGACCAUGCUUCAUAAUUAUCACGUGUUUUCGAAACCAGAACCUUUCAUUUCCACAAUUAAGUACUUGUUGAUAGAAGGAAGUACUUCAAAAAACCAAAACUGUAAAUGAAUGGUUUUACAAAGGAAGGUUUUUUUUGUUGUUAAAAUAACUGGAUAUAUAUCAUGAGUCUGAGCCUCACUUUAUUGCAAAGAUUAAACCCUAAUUCUAGGAGUCAUCACUGGUAGCUGUCAGUACUACUGAAGUGAGUUGAUAAAACCUGUGAUAAAAAGAUUCUGUAAUCAACCAAUGUUCAAGAAGUUCUCAUUCUCUUAUUUUUCAGUCCAGAAAUCAUUCUUUGUAUCGUAAGUUGUAAACCUAAAGCCAGAAAAGGAAGAGAGACCAACUUAAAUACAAAGGAAAAAUAACUGAUUUCAACUAAAACCAGGGGCAUUAUUUUUAUUGCUGUGGUAUUGCUCCUGGUCUCAGGCAGGCUAGAAAUCACUAGAUGCUGCCUGAACGCAACACAAAAUUAUAUGCCUUGAAAGAAAACCUAGCAUGAAUGUACAGAGUUUUUUAUAUUUACUGUAAAUCAGAUUCUGCUACUUUUGAAUCUCUGGGAAUAAUAUUUAAUUGUAUCAGUGAGACUUUCUGGACAUGGUAGAAGCUUUUCCAAAGUCUUGUAUUAUCAUAGUCAUUCAGGUGAGAAUGGGCCCCGGGAGGCCUCCAGUUCCUCCACCUGCUCAAGACGGGAUUGCCUAUGGGAUCAGACUGGGUAGCUUAGGGCUAUGUCCAGCUGGGUCCUGAAAAACCUCUAAGGAUAGUGACUGGCCAACACUCUUGGGCAGCUUGCUCCAUUGCUUGUCUGUCCCUGUGGGGCUGUUCUCUUGUUUUGCUUUAUGCUCGCUGUCUCUAUUCUUCCCUCUCCUAUGUGCUGCUGAGAAGAGCUUGCCUCCAUCUUCUGAACAAAUCCUUCACAGGUAGGAACGGGCUGCUACUUGUUGCCCUCCCAAAGCCAUCUUGUGUCCGGGCUGAACAUGCCCCAGUCUUCUCAGCAGUGCUGCUCCCCAGCCAGGCAGCCCCUGGCCAGUGGUGAAGCCAGGUGUUGUUUCUCCUCAGGUGCAGCACAUUGCAUUUGUCCUUUCUGAAUUUCCUAAGGCUUCCAUCAACCCACUCCUCCAGCCUGCAGAUGACAGCCCUGCCUAUGACAGUACUUAACUCAUCCCCACAUUUCGGUGUCAUCUGCACACCUCAUGAGAGUAUGCUCCAUCACUUCCUUCGGUCACUGGUAAAGGCAUAAACCACAGCAGGUCUCAGUGCAGUAGACCCCUGCACUACCCCAAUUGUUACUUACUGGUCCCCAGGUGAAGUAGGACCUAUUAACCACUGCCCUCUGAGCCUCAUCAUCCAACCCAUUUUUAACCCAUCUGGUUGUCUACCCAUCCAGACAGUAACAUCUGAACUUGGACACAAGAAUAUUUCAGGAGACAGUGUUGAAAAUCUUCCUAAAGUUCGGGUAAAUGCCAUACGCUGCUCUCCCCUCAUUCACAGCCCCACCCGGUUUAUCACAGAAGGAAAUCAGGUUAGUCGGGCAUGAUGAGAGCGUGGCAGAAUCUGGCCAUAACUGGGGAUGAGGCACAGGGCUGUUAGGAAACUGGCACUUUA